This 212-nucleotide small RNA is filed under the name Rickettsia prowazekii. RNAcentral's name for it is "partial sR42 non-coding RNA". Lineage: Bacteria; Pseudomonadati; Pseudomonadota; Alphaproteobacteria; Rickettsiales; Rickettsiaceae. The record is from RNAcentral.
UGCUUAUCGAGAAAAUGUUUUAGUAUUUAGAUUUAUUUGUGAGAUGUGAGACCUGCUUGAUUAAAAGUACUUAAUAGUAAAAAAACUGUACAAACCAUAAGCUACAUUAUUUACUAAAAAUGAGUCCUGAAAAAGUUGCUGAUUUUAAGUAAAUUAUUAUUUGAUAAUAGCUAUAUUUUAUUAACUCUAGAUUUUUAUCUAAAUCGAUUUAU